AACGAACGCUGGCGGCAGGCUUAACACAUGCAAGUCGAACGGUUGCAGCAAUGCAGCAGUGGCAGACGGGUGAGUAACACGUGGGAACCUUCCUAGGGGUACGGAACAACUCAGGGAAACUUGAGCUAAUACCGUAUACGUCCGUGAGGAGAAAGAUUUAUCGCCCUUAGACGGGCCCGCGUCGGAUUAGCUAGUUGGUGGGGUAACGGCCUACCAAGGCGACGAUCCGUAGCUGAUCUUAGAGGAUGAUCAGCCACACUGGGACUGAGACACGGCCCAGACUCCUACGGGAGGCAGCAGUGGGGAAUAUUGGACAAUGGGCGCAAGCCUGAUCCAGCCAUGCCGCGUGAGUGAUGAAGGCCCUAGGGUUGUAAAGCUCUUUCGCCAGGGACGAUAAUGACGGUACCUGGAUAAGAAGCCCCGGCUAACUUCGUGCCAGCAGCCGCAGUAA
RNAcentral lists this ribosomal RNA (451 nucleotides) under uncultured bacterium. Its description in RNAcentral is "partial 16S ribosomal RNA". It matches the Rfam family "Bacterial small subunit ribosomal RNA", at positions 29 to 523 of the family's 1533-position model. The record is from RNAcentral.